GAGACUGGAAUUCCUGGUGUAGCGGUGGAAUGCGCAGAUAUCAGGAGGAACACCGAUGGCGAAGGCAGGUCUCUGGGCCGCAACUGACGCUGAGGAGCGAAAGCAUGGGGAGCGAACAGGAUUAGAUACCCUGGUAGUCCAUGCCGUAAACGUUGGGCACUAGGUGUGGGGCUCAUUCCACGAGUUCCGUGCCGCAGCAAACGCAUUAAGUGCCCCGCCUGGGGAGUACGGCCGCAAGGCUAAAACUCAAAGGAAUUGACGGGGGCCCGCACAAGCGGCGGAGCAUGCGGAUUAAUUCGAUGCAACGCGAAGAACCUUACCAAGGCUUGACAUGCACGAGAAGCCACCAGAGAUGGUGGUCUCUUUGGACACUCGUGCACAGGUGGUGCAUGGUUGUCGUCAGCUCGUGUCGUGAGAUGUUGGGUUAAGUCCCGCAACGAGCGCAACCCUCGUCCCAUGUUGCCAGCGGGUUAUGCCGGGGACUCAUGGGAGACUGCCGGGGUCAACUCGGAGGAAGGUGGGGAUGACGUCAAAUCAUCAUGCCCCUUAUGUCUUGGGCUUCACGCAUGCUACAAUGGCCGGUACAAAGGGCUGCGAUACCGUAAGGUGGAGCGAAUCCCAAAAAGCCGGUCUCAGUUCGGAUUGGGGUCUGCAACUCGACCCCAUGAAGUCGGAGUCGCUAGUAAUCGCAGAUCAGCAACGCUGCGGUGAAUACGUUCCCGGGCCUUGUACACACCGCCCGUCAAGUCACGAAAGUCGGUAACACCCGAAGCCCA
RNAcentral lists this ribosomal RNA (776 nucleotides) under unidentified microorganism. Its description in RNAcentral is "bacterial SSU rRNA". It matches the Rfam family "Bacterial small subunit ribosomal RNA", at positions 657 to 1430 of the family's 1533-position model. The record is from RNAcentral.